GACGAACGCUGGCGGCGUGCCUAAUACAUGCAAGUCGAGCGAGCUUGCCUAGAUGAAUUUGGUGCUUGCACCAGAUGAAACUAGAUACAAGCGAGCGGCGGACGGGUGAGUAACACGUGGGUAACCUGCCCAAGAGACUGGGAUAACACCUGGAAACAGAUGCUAAUACCGGAUAACAACACUAGACGCAUGUCUAGAGUUUAAAAGAUGGUUCUGCUAUCACUCUUGGAUGGACCUGCGGUGCAUUAGCUAGUUGGUAAGGUAACGGCUUACCAAGGCAAUGAUGCAUAGCCGAGUUGAGAGACUGAUCGGCCACAUUGGGACUGAGACACGGCCCAAACUCCUACGGGAGGCAGCAGUAGGGAAUCUUCCACAAUGGACGCAAGUCUGAUGGAGCAACGCCGCGUGAGUGAAGAAGGGUUUCGGCUCGUAAAGCUCUGUUGGUAGUGAAGAAAGAUAGAGGUAGUAACUGGCCUUUAUUUGACGGUAAUUACUUAGAAAGUCACGGCUAACUACGUGCCAGCAGCCGCGGUAAUACGUAGGUGGCAAGCGUUGUCCGGAUUUAUUGGGCGUAAAGCGAGUGCAGGCGGUUCAAUAAGUCUGAUGUGAAAGCCUUCGGCUCAACCGGAGAAUUGCACCAGAAACUGUUGAACUUGAGUGCAGAAGAGGAGAGUGGAACUCCAUGUGUAGCGGUGGAAUGCGUAGAUAUAUGGAAGAACACCAGUGGCGAAGGCGGCUCUCUGGUCUGCAACUGACGCUGAGGCUCGAAAGCAUGGGUAGCGAACAGG
This 788-nucleotide ribosomal RNA is filed under the name uncultured Lactobacillus sp. RNAcentral's name for it is "bacterial SSU rRNA". It matches the Rfam family "Bacterial small subunit ribosomal RNA", at positions 28 to 776 of the family's 1533-position model. Lineage: Bacteria; Bacillati; Bacillota; Bacilli; Lactobacillales; Lactobacillaceae. The record is from RNAcentral.